UACGUAGGGGGCAAGCGUUAUCCGGAUUUACUGGGUGUAAAGGGAGCGUAGACGGCAGUGCAAGUCUGAAGUGAAAGGCGGGGGCCCAACCCCCGGACUGCUUUGGAAACUGUGCUGCUGGAGUGCGGGAGAGGCAAGUGGAAUUCCUAGUGUAGCGGUGAAAUGCGUAGAUAUUAGGAGGAACACCAGUGGCGAAGGCGGCUUGCUGGACUGUAACUGACGUUGAGGCUCGAAAGCGUGGGGAGCAAACAGG
Molecule: ribosomal RNA, 253 nt
Filed under: uncultured bacterium
Lineage: Bacteria
Description: partial 16S ribosomal RNA
Rfam family: Bacterial small subunit ribosomal RNA
Source: RNAcentral